RNAcentral lists this ribosomal RNA (292 nucleotides) under uncultured bacterium. RNAcentral's name for it is "partial 16S ribosomal RNA". The record is from RNAcentral.
GGACUACUCGGGUAUCUAAUCCUGUUCGCUCCCCUAGCUUUCGCACCUGAGCGUCAGUUACCAGCCAGGACACUGCCUUCGCCUUUGGUAUUCCUCCGGAUAUCUACGCAUUUCACCACUCCACCCGGAAUUCUAUGUCCCUCUCUGGUCCUCAAGUCUGCCAGUCUUCGGAAACCUCACCCGGUUGAGCCGGGUACUGUCACUCCAAACUUAGCAGACCGCCUGCGUGCGCUUUACGCCCAAUAAAUCCGGACAACGCUCGCCCCCUACGUAUUACCGCGGCGGCUGGCAC